Molecule: ribosomal RNA, 363 nt
Filed under: uncultured eukaryote
Lineage: Eukaryota
Description: SSU rRNA
Rfam family: Eukaryotic small subunit ribosomal RNA
Source: RNAcentral
CCAGCAGCCGCGGUAAUUCCAGCUCCGCAAGUGUAUUCCUAUACUGUUGCGUUUAAAUAGCUCGUAGUUGGAUCUGCGUGUUUAGCGCGCGGUGCCAUUUGUUUUGGUUACUGUGCCGCGGCACUUUAGUGCUUGUUUCCGCGAUGCUCUCGCGAGUGUCGUGGUCAUGAGCGAAGUUUACUUUGAACAAAUCAGAGUGCUCAAAACGGGCGUUUCGCUCGAAUGUUCUUGCAUGGAAUAAUGGAAUAGGACCGCGCGUUCUAUUUUGUUGGUUUUCGGGACGCGGGUAAUGAUUAAGAGGGACAGACGGGGGCAUUUGUACUGCGACGUGAGAGGUGAAAUUCUUGGAUCGUCGCAAGACAG